GAUCCUGGCUCAGGACGAACGCUGGCGGCGUGCUUAACACAUGCAAGUCGAACGGAAAGAGAUGAAAGAGCUUGCUCUUUUAUUAAUUUCAGUGGCAAACGGGUGAGUAACACGUAAACAACCUGCCUUAAGGAUGGGGAUAACAGACGGAAACGACUGCUAAUACCGAAUACGUUCUAAGCAUCGCAUGGUGCAUAGAAGAAAGGGUGGCCUCUACAAGAAAGCUAUCGCCUUAAGAGGGGUUUGCG
Molecule: ribosomal RNA, 248 nt
Filed under: uncultured bacterium
Lineage: Bacteria
Description: partial 16S ribosomal RNA
Rfam family: Bacterial small subunit ribosomal RNA
Source: RNAcentral